Molecule: long non-coding RNA, 321 nt
Organism: Brachypodium distachyon (stiff brome)
Lineage: Eukaryota; Viridiplantae; Streptophyta; Magnoliopsida; Poales; Poaceae
Exons: 3
Source: RefSeq, a predicted model, not a curated record
CUCGCUAUUUAGACUGCACAUCUCUAUCUAUCUCUCUUACCAUUUCAGUCUCAAGCCUUUGUCUUCUCCUCGUACGACUCUCUGCCGCUUCGUGUUCCUUCUUCGAUCGCGUCCAUCAGAAGAAGGGGGCCUCUCCGAUUAACCCGACUUUCAGGAGAGACGACAGAGAUGGAUAACAAGGGCAAGUCCAAGGUGGUGUUGGAAUGGAAGAAGAAGAAGAAGAAGGAUUCAGGUGGCAGUCGUAGCAGAGAUAAGGAGAUAUGGGAAGACGUGGACGCUGCUGCUCUCACCGCCGGCGGCGGCCGCCUAAGGAGCCGCAUC